CCCAAACAGGUCAGCGCGUGACUGCAUGACAAGCGUGAUGCUCCGCUGACGGGACGCCAGCUAAAGUCCAUUGAGUAGAUUGUUUGUUGUUGUUUUUUACUAAAACGUUGACUUUAUUUUAGGUUUUCUACACCUCGUUUCUUUUUUUCCCUACAAACUAGUGCACAUAGAACAAACAUUACAGACCAGCAAUGUAAUGUUGGUUUGCAACAUUACAUUGUUACAGGCCAAUGCAAUGUUACGCUUGUCAAGACAACAAAUAUCAGCAAACAAAGAAAAAGAAGAAGAACAACGAAAAGCAAGACGGUUCCUCGUUCGGUUGUGUUUUCUAACAUGGAAGAUAUUUCCAGCGGUGGCCUGCAGGACAGCUGUUGGCCAGCUGUUGGCCGCUCCCCGCUCUCAGCCCGCUCACGGCACGAUCAUCCCAAUCUAGACUUAAAUAUCUGAUAACUGGGUGAUCAAGAUAAAGAAUGGCCUGUUUACAGAGGCAGAGCAGCUCCGGCCCGGCCCCGGGAUCACACAGCAGGAAUGUUCGUGCUACGAACAACUAAUUAGACUCUAAUUAGGAGUUCAAAAAGCAAGUAAAACAACAGAACGCAACGAGUGUUAAUGGCUUCUUAACAAGCGCGCUCGGUUCAAACAGCUGCGCUUGGAAGGGCUUCACAAAGGAGGCCGGGCGACGCGGCGGAGAACGUUUGGAAACAACACAGAAGAAUAAACAUCAGCUCCGAUCAACCGCUCCAAAUGAAGCGGCUACAAGAGUGUUUCCUCUCCCUCUACUUCGAAGCGUCGUCUCCAGUUUCUCUGGAGACUCCUCCUGAGAGCAGAGCACGGCACAGUACCCAGAGCAGUGUUGAUUUUUCAAAAAUAAAGCCAACUUUAACAUUUCA
Molecule: long non-coding RNA, 890 nt
Organism: Xiphophorus couchianus (Monterrey platyfish)
Lineage: Eukaryota; Metazoa; Chordata; Actinopteri; Cyprinodontiformes; Poeciliidae
Exons: 2
Source: RefSeq, a predicted model, not a curated record